This 301-nucleotide ribosomal RNA is filed under the name uncultured bacterium. Its description in RNAcentral is "partial 16S ribosomal RNA". It matches the Rfam family "Bacterial small subunit ribosomal RNA", at positions 509 to 807 of the family's 1533-position model. The record is from RNAcentral.
CAGUCGCCGCGGUAAUACGGAGGGUGCAAGCGUUAAUCGGAAUUACUGGGCGUAAAGCGUGCGCAGGCGGUUUGUUAAGACAGAUGUGAAAUCCCCGGGCUCAACCUGGGAACUGCAUUUGUGACUGGCAAGCUAGAGUGUGGCAGAGGGGGGUGGAAUUCCGCGUGUAGCAGUGAAAUGCGUAGAUAUGCGGAGGAACACCGAUGGCGAAGGCAGCCCCCUGGGCCAACACUGACGCUCAUGCACGAAAGCGUGGGGAGCAAACAGGAUUAGAUACCCGCGUAGUCCCUGUCUCUUAUAC